Molecule: long non-coding RNA, 147 nt
Organism: Juglans microcarpa x Juglans regia
Lineage: Eukaryota; Viridiplantae; Streptophyta; Magnoliopsida; Fagales; Juglandaceae
Exons: 4
Source: RefSeq, a predicted model, not a curated record
UGCAGACUAAUAUGCAGCAUUUGACUAGGCGAAAAUAACUUGUAGUUCAGUCAAUCGUGGAUGAGACUCGACGGAGAAAAAGUUCUGUUUGGCAAUAAUAAUAGUAGUUGGUUCAAUAAAUUAUAUCAAUCUACAAUUAUAACAAAA